Rhipicephalus sanguineus (brown dog tick) is the source of this 73-nucleotide non-coding RNA. Lineage: Eukaryota; Metazoa; Arthropoda; Arachnida; Ixodida; Ixodidae. The record is from the annotation of a RefSeq genome assembly.
GCCACGGUGGCCUAGUGGCUAUGGCGCUCGGCUGCUAACCCGAAGGUCGCGGGAUCGAAUCCCGGCCGCGGCG